Molecule: ribosomal RNA, 341 nt
Filed under: uncultured Prevotella sp.
Lineage: Bacteria; Pseudomonadati; Bacteroidota; Bacteroidia; Bacteroidales; Prevotellaceae
Description: bacterial SSU rRNA
Rfam family: Bacterial small subunit ribosomal RNA
Source: RNAcentral
AUUAGAGUUUGAUCCUGGCUCAGGAUGAACGCUAGCUACAGGCUUAACACAUGCAAGUCGAGGGGCAGCAUAACGAAAGCUUGCUUUUGUUGAUGGCGACCGGCGCACGGGUGAGUAACGCGUAUCCAACCUUCCCUAUAGUAGAGGAUAGCCCGGCGAAAGUCGGAUUAAUACUCUAUGUUGUAUUUAGAGGACAUCUGAAGAAUACCAAAGGUUUACCGCUAUAGGAUGGGGAUGCGUCUGAUUAGCUUGUUGGCGGGGUAACGGCCCACCAAGGCGACGAUCAGUAGGGGUUCUGAGAGGAAGGUCCCCCACAUUGGAACUGAGCCAUGAUCAAACUC